Pezoporus occidentalis (night parrot) is the source of this 2469-nucleotide long non-coding RNA. RefSeq lists it as uncharacterized. The transcript has 4 exons. The record is from RefSeq and is a predicted model, not a curated record. Lineage: Eukaryota; Metazoa; Chordata; Aves; Psittaciformes; Psittacidae.
AUUGGCAGCGUUAGUACAACUAUUGUUUUGUAGGGCCCCAGGCCAUGGCAUUGCAUGCUGGAGAGUCAGUGGAGCCUCUUGUCCCAUCUAGGUGACUCGGAGCUUCCCAGCCAGCCUUCAUCUGGUGCAGGAAGCAUCUUUCUUCAUGAGCAGUCCCACAGGCUGUGAUGGAGUGACUCUGAGGUCUUCCCAAAUCAGACUCGAAGAAGGCCCUGUUCCAAUUCUGGACACAAGGCAUAAAAAAGCAGCACCGGAAUCUUGCCAAAAAGUAUCUGGUUAUGAAAAGAAUCAUGACCAUCCUGGAAUACAGAAGGCAGGACAACAAGGUCCAUAGUCUUGGUUAAACACAUUAAACUGAGGGAUCAUGACUGAUAGGCUGAAUGAGAACAGCCCAUGAGCCCAAAACAACGUAAAAGCACGUUUCCCCUCCUCUGCAGCCCACAUACCUGGAUGGAUCUUCAUGUGUAGCAAGAAAAACAGAAUUAUCUUGCACUACUCUAACAGAAUCUUCUCUUUUGGUUGUUUUGAUACUACAUUUGCUUUGCUUUACCUUGUGUGGUGAUUUCUACCACUGAAGAAACUUUUACUUGGAAUGCACAAAUAUAUCAUGGGAAUUUAUUGCGAAGGGAAGAGGUUGAUAAAAAUGUUAAGUGAUAAAAGAAAGCUUUAGAAGAAGUUAACAUCUGAGAAUGAAGAACCUGUUACAAAACCGCAAUGCAUAGUAUCUAUUCCUGAAAACCUGCCUAUUUGAUCAGUCUGCUGAAAAACAUGUGAAAAUGUAAACGGAAGUAACUGUAAGCAUCUCCAGACACAGAGUAACAGCAAUAAGAUACCUAAGAGUCUACUCUGAGGCACCACAGGAGAAGGGGGACUUGAAAACACAUUACUGGAAGAUGAGAUGACCUCAGGGGGCUUCUUCCAUGCAGAAGAGGAUGCCAGGGAGCAACUUACGGGAGGGAAAGGAGAGAAUGAGGCUUCAGGAUCCCUGCUGUUUCAAAUACUUCCAUGAUGGCUGCCAACAGGAGGGGAAAGACAAGAGGGAAGAAUCUCGUAAAAUCCCGUGACUCAGGAAGCUCGGGUUCAAGAUAAAACCUUGUUACUCAUGAAGAACCUGUGAACAUUGGAAGGGACUGAACCAAUCCCACAGCACAGGUUAGCAAUGCUUAACAGGUUUCCCACUUUGAACUUUUGUAUUUUGAGGUAUAUUUUUGUUACUACAAAAAAGCAGCUAAAUAAGAACCUUGGUCUUGGUAUUUCUGUGACAUUAAGAAACUGUCAUCAUUCCAGUAUUAUUGAUAUUUCAGAGUAAUAAUUGACUACCCACUGUUUCACCAAAAAUAAUAUUUUGGUGUGACUGCAGGUAGAGGCGGGUUUUCCCCUGUUUGGUAGUUUCUUGCUAUACAGCAAAAGGUAUGUUUUGAGGGUUUGUCCCAAGUCAGUCUCCUGACACCAAAUUGCCAUGUUUCUAGUAGAACCAUGUGGUCAUAAAACCUUCCUGCAGCUAUUGGCUUUGCAGUGGACCUUGUCCAGAUCCUCCCUCCCAUCAUGGAGAAUGUACCAGAAGAUAUAUUGCAGCCUGGGAUGCUCUAUAUUCUACGGAUAAGUUUUCUGCUGGGAUCAGAACUGACAGUGAACUCUAAUUCCUCUUUAUGCUCUUUCCUUGUAAUAUCUUCCUGACUGCAGACUCUUCCCAGUUUCAGAGGAGAGACUACGAUGCAGGGUUGAUGAGUGGUACUUUCUCACUCACAAACACACUCCCAAGGCAGAGCGUUUACUCCUAUUCUUCCAGCAAGUAACAACUAGGAGCUGCAUUAGUAAAUAAAGCAAGCGCUGAGCCUGGAAUGGGAGGUUAAACAUCCUGCUGGAAAGUCAGCAGUUUUAGUCAUGGUGUAAAAUAUCCCAUGACGGCAUUCCUUUCUGAAACCUGAUCCCGGAGAGAACAGCUUACAGAGCUGAAGAGAUGCCAGGCAAUGAUCUAUGGCCCUGGCCUUCCUGAAAUGUAUUCCUCCCCAGCAUCUGUAAGCUCUCAAGUCAUCCAUGUAGUCCUCACGUAUAUGUAACACAUCCUUGAGCCAUGACUUUUUCUCCUGUGGUUCAAAGCUGUGUUUUCAUGUGCCUCUGAGCACUUUAACUAGGCACAACGUUGGGAUACAGAUCCAAACAAAAUAAUAUCAGCUUUCCUGGUUUUAGAGCAUAGUUUAUGCCCUGCUUGGCUGAAUUAAUAGAAACAUUUGGGAAUCACCCCCAACAAACUUCUUGUAAGCUGGAAGUCUGAAUGUUACAGCUAAAUCCAGGCAAUCACGUGAGUAUGAGCGUAAUCAGGACCAUACAUCUGAAGCGUGUCUUCAGCAGUUUCCGGGAAGUUUGGAUCUGUCAUAAGAAUUGCAAAAGUUUUAAAACUCUUUCUGUUCAAACCUGUUAUUAAGUACAGCAAAAUUGUUUCCAGCUAAGAAUAUCUAUAAACCUUAA